Molecule: ribosomal RNA, 557 nt
Filed under: uncultured bacterium
Lineage: Bacteria
Description: bacterial SSU rRNA
Rfam family: Bacterial small subunit ribosomal RNA
Source: RNAcentral
ACGGGUGAGUAACGCGUGGGAAUCUACCCAUCUCUACGGAAUAACGCAUGGAAACGUGUGCUAAUACCGUAUACGUCCUUCGGGAGAAAGAUUUAUCGGAGAUGGAUGAGCCCGCGUUGGAUUAGCUAGUUGGUGGGGUAAAGGCCUACCAAGGCGACGAUCCAUAGCUGGUCUGAGAGGAUGAUCAGCCACACUGGGACUGAGACACGGCCCAGACUCCUACGGGAGGCAGCAGUGGGGAAUAUUGGACAAUGGGCGCAAGCCUGAUCCAGCCAUGCCGCGUGAGUGAUGAAGGCCCUAGGGUUGUAAAGCUCUUUCACCGGUGAAGAUAAUGACGGUAACCGGAGAAGAAGCCCCGGCUAACUUCGUGCCAGCAGCCGCGGUAAUACGAAGGGGGCUAGCGUUGUUCGGAUUUACUGGGCGUAAAGCGCACGUAGGCGGACUAUUAAGUCAGGGGUGAAAUCCCGGGGCUCAACCCCGGAUCUGCCUUUGAUACUGGUAGUCUUGAGUUCGAGAGAGGUGAGUGGAAUUCCGAGUGUAGAGGUGGAAUUCGUAGA